This 468-nucleotide ribosomal RNA is filed under the name uncultured bacterium. RNAcentral describes it as "partial 16S ribosomal RNA". It matches the Rfam family "Bacterial small subunit ribosomal RNA", at positions 28 to 507 of the family's 1533-position model. The record is from RNAcentral.
GACGAACGCUGGCGGCGUGCUUAACACAUGCAAGUCGAACGGCAAGGCCCUUCUUUUGUGGGGUGCUCGAGUGGCGAACGGGUGAGUAACACGUGAGUAACCUUCCCUUGACUUUGGGAUAACUUCCGGAAACUGGGGCUAAUACCGGUUCGGAGCUCCUGCUGCAUGGUGGGGGUUGGAAAGUUUCGGCGGUUGGGGAUGGACUCGCGGCUUAUCCGCUUGUUGGUGGGGUAGUGGCUUACCAAGGCCUUGACGGGUAGCCGGCCUGAGAGGGGGACCGGCGACAUUGGGACUGAGAGAGGGACCAGACUGCUACGGGAGGCAGUAGGGGGGAAUAUGGAACAAUGGGGGGAAGCCUGAUGAAGAAACGCCGCGUGCGGGAUGAAGGCCUUCGGGUUGUAAACCGCUUUGGCCUGUGACGAAGCGUGAGUGACGGUAAUGGGUAAAGAAGCACCGGCUAACUACGUG